RNAcentral lists this ribosomal RNA (292 nucleotides) under uncultured bacterium. RNAcentral's name for it is "partial 16S ribosomal RNA". It matches the Rfam family "Bacterial small subunit ribosomal RNA", at positions 505 to 796 of the family's 1533-position model. The record is from RNAcentral.
GUGCCAGCAGCCGCGGUAAGACGGAGGGUGCAAGCGUUGUUCGGAAUCAUUGGGCGUACAGGGUGCGCAGGCGGCCUGGCAUGUCCGAUGUGAAAGCCCGUGGCUCAACCACGGAAGUGCCUUCGAAACUGUUGCUCUUGAGUCCCGGAGAGGUUGCCGGAAUUCGUGGUGUAGCGGUGAAAUGCGUAGAUAUCACGAGGAACACCAGAGGCGAAAGCGGGCAACUGGACGGGUACUGACGCUCAGGCACGAAAGCGCGGGGAGCAAACAGGAUUAGAUACCCCUGUAGUCC